Non-coding RNA from Schistosoma mansoni, 49 nucleotides. Lineage: Eukaryota; Metazoa; Platyhelminthes; Trematoda; Strigeidida; Schistosomatidae. The record is from Rfam.
GCACUGCUGAGGAGGAGUCCCAUAAUAGGACGAAACGGCCGUCCAAUGC